Coregonus clupeaformis (lake whitefish) is the source of this 719-nucleotide long non-coding RNA. RefSeq lists it as uncharacterized. The record is from RefSeq and is a predicted model, not a curated record. The transcript has 3 exons. Lineage: Eukaryota; Metazoa; Chordata; Actinopteri; Salmoniformes; Salmonidae.
ACAACACCCUGACUAAAGAGAAAGACCAGCUACAGACCAGUUACAACACCCUGACUAAAGAGAGAGACCACUUGAAGGAAGAGCUAAACAAACAGAACAGUGGAUGGAGGAAGUUCAGUUCCAGUUGGUACUUCCGCUCUACUGAGAAGAAAUCCUGGACUGAGAGCAGGCAGGACUGUCUGGGGAGAGGCGCACACCUGGUGAUCAUUAACAGCAGAGCUGAACAGGAAUUUAUCCAUGAAUGGGUUGGAUGCCUGGACAUCUACCUUGGUUUCCAUGACACCAAUACAGAAGGGGUUUGGGAGUGGAUUAACGAUGGCCAAUCAGGCCAAUCAUCAGCUCCUAGAACUACGUGAGUGGACCUGUUCUGGAUUAUAUUUUACCAUCUAAUUUGUAACAAAUUCCUUUUUACUGUCUGAUUAUCUGUGUUUGUAUUGGAUGACUUUUUGCUGUCUGUUUCUAUGUGCUUCAUUCUAUAGUUAGGACUCCUGAAUUGGAGGGGGAGUGGUUUCACCUCUUUUUUGAGUGUAUAUAACCAGCUUCUCAGGCUCCAUCUCAGUGUGAUUCAUUUUAUAGCUAGAGGACUCAUGAUAUCUCCAGGAGUGAUAAGUAUAAUUUGUCUUAAUCUGUUGUUGUCUAGUACUGUCUUGUUGCUAGCUAGGGCCAUCUAAUUUAAGUGCUGCCUGUCUUCCCAGUAGCCUACUUGGUGUGUGAACUGC